This 1651-nucleotide long non-coding RNA is filed under the name Sus scrofa (pig). Lineage: Eukaryota; Metazoa; Chordata; Mammalia; Artiodactyla; Suidae. The record is from RNAcentral.
CCCAACAAUUCUUUCCUCGCUGGAAGAAAGGCAGCCGCCACUAGGCUCGCCCCAGUCUCGGAACGAGGACUUGUUCAAGAAUCUGAUGUCUAAGUUUCCCACUGGAGAGGCCUGGAGGUUUGGAAUUUCACGAUUUCUGCGAAAAGAAAAAAUCGAUCCGAUUUAUCAGAUGAUCCUAUGCAUUGCAGCGCAGCUGGAGCGCUGCAGAAAAUCCUCCUGACUCAUUUUUUCGUCUCUGGCAAAAGGAAAGGGCUCCAAAAGAACUGGAUGCGUUUGCGGGGGAACAGGUUGGCUUUGCCAGUUCGGAGCGUGGUGGCUUGAACGGGGGACAGGAGGGGAGGUGACAAUAAACUCUAAGGAGAAAACUGUGAGGGCAAAGCCACGCCGGUGUGUCAGGAGGGAGCAGGAGAAAAAAAUGGCCAAGGACAAAGACAAGCUGCUUAUGCCUGGAAAUAAUUAUGCUCCGGAGAAGACAACUGAAUUCCAUAUUACCUUGGUCAGUGUCUGCAGUUGGGGGAGGUGUUUGGGUUGGGUUUACUUUUUGGAUCUUAGCAACAUAAAUUUGUUGUCACUGAACUAUUAAAUACAGUGGACACAUGUUGGCAAAGAGGAUCCUGAGAAUCAUGGAACUGAUUACGGGACAGCCUAUGAAAUAAUCACUUAAAUGGGCCCACUGCACGAUUUUAAUAUCCCAUGACAACACUCAAUUGUCAAAUUCAGCUAGAGUGUCCAGGAUGCUACUAAAAUUAAGCCAGAAAUUCCUAGAUUUAUUCUCGCGUGCACGCUCUCUCUUUCCCUUUAGUUAAGGACAGGAAAUGCCAGGAAGCUGUGAGAAUCGAAGCAAGAAAGAAGAAACUGGGAAGGAAAAAGGAUGGUCUAGCAUUUUAUGAGAUUUCUGCCAUUAAAUCUAUAACAAAUGUCUUUCACCUACCCUCGAUAAAGAGGCAAUGUGGGAUUUUAAUUGGACUUUUGGCUUUUCUUCAUUUGAUUUAAACCAAGGUAGAAUUUCAAACAAUAACACGGGAACACCUGGUUAACACGUUAGGUGAUACGCACAGUUGUAAAUUGUGGUUUUAAUAGUUGCUCACUGGGGGAUUUCAAAGGGUCUCGUUGUUCUGUUUGGCAGAUAUUUUAAAAAAUCACCAACGACUGGGAUUUAAAAGCCCUGCACAUGAUUUCAGUGCAACUCCGAUCAUGAAAUUUAAUCACUUGACCCCACUUGUGGCCCUUUGUCCGGGGGUGACUCACGCGCACUCUGCGAGUUCUUCCAAAUUGUCGUCCAGCUUCAAGUCCAGAGAAAUCUGAUAACCUCGUCUCUCUAAGCAAACAGGGGAGAGCUUGGCGUGGAAGCCCCGGUCAAGCCGUGGGGACAGAGUGGCUGUGUAGUCUCCUAUCUACCCGCGCAGGGUCGCGUGUUGCUGCGGCCUGGACCGUGUGUGGACGUUUGGCUGGACGGUUAUGUCUCUUUUUGGAAGACAAACCUGCGUCCCGAGCACAGGCUCCCGACAACACUGCACGUUCCCCCCAGCUCCUUCCUGGGCAGCAGGAGGCCCUGCCCGGAAGCCGAGCAGCGGGGUGACCCCAUAUUUUAAAGUGACAGCUUUCCAGAGGCCUGCCCGCGCUUGCCUUCUGCCCUCCCCUCCCAGCUGCG